GGACUACCCGGGUAUCUAAUCCUGUUUGCUCCCCACGCUUUCGUGCCUCAGUGUCAGUUGUUGUCCAGGUAGCCGCCUUCGCCACUGAUGUUCCUUCCGAUAUCUACGCAUUUCACCGCUACACCGGAAAUUCCGCUACCCUCUACAACACUCUAGCUUUGCAGUUUAACACGCAAUCCCCAAGUUAAGCUCAGGACUUUCACAUGUUACUUACAAAACCACCUACGCACCCUUUACGCCCAGUAAUUCCGAUUAACGCUCGCACCCUCUGUAUUACCGCGGCUGCUGGCAC
Molecule: ribosomal RNA, 292 nt
Filed under: uncultured bacterium
Lineage: Bacteria
Description: partial 16S ribosomal RNA
Source: RNAcentral